AAAUCGUGAAGCUGCUCGAAAAAGCCGUCUAAGGAAAAAGGCAUAUGUUCAACAGUUGGAGAGCAGCAGGAUGAAGCUGACACAACUAGAACAGGAGCUUCAACGAGCUCGGCAACAGGGAAUAUUUAUUUCAGGUUCAGGAGAUCAAUCGCAGUCGAUGAGUGGAAAUGGAGCUUUGGCAUUUGAUGUAGAAUAUGCCCGAUGGUUGGAAGAGCAGAACCGACGAAUUAAUGAAUUAAGGGGAGCUGUUAAUUCUCAUGCUGGUGAUGCUGAACUUCGCAUAAUAGUCGAUGGAAUACUGGCACACUAUGAUGACAUAUUCAGGAUAAAGGGGGAUGCGGCGAAGGCUGAUGUUUUUCACAUAUUGUCGGGCAUGUGGAAAACUCCUGCAGAAAGAUGCUUCUUGUGGCUUGGUGGAUUCCGUUCAUCUGAACUACUCAAGCUGCUCAUUAAUCAGUUGGAGCCUUUAACCGAACAACAAUUAUUGGCGAUCAACAACUUACAACAGUCAUCCCAACAGGCUGAGGAUGCUUUAUCCCAGGGAAUGGAGGCAUUGCAGCAGUCUUUGGCUGAGACACUCGCAGGGUCUCUUGGACCUUCAGGUUCCUCUGGGAAUGUUGCAAAUUAUAUGGGUCAAAUGGCCAUGGCAAUGGGGAAGCUUGGAACUCUUGAGGGUUUCAUACGGCAGGCUGAUAACCUUCGGCAACAAACAUUGCAGCAAAUGCAUCGCAUAUUGACAACUCGCCAAUCAGCUCGUGCUCUUCUUGCUAUCACUGAUUAUUUCUCUAGGCUUCGAGCACUGAGCUCUCUCUGGCUUGCUCGUCCCCGGGAAUAACAUCCGCUUUCUUCUAAUACACUACUCUAAAGACCCUUGGUAACAUUUGUAAAUGAGAAACCUCUUUGUUGGAAAGCUGAGCUGCUGAGUUUUAAUGGAUACAUAUAUUUAUAUAAUGGUAUUUGUAACAUUGUUUCAUAUUUAACUAAGAUAGUGUGUGAUCAGUGAAUUGUUGUUGUAUUUUAGUAUAUCUAAUGGUUCCAGUUAG
Molecule: unclassified non-coding RNA, 1043 nt
Filed under: Hevea brasiliensis (rubber tree)
Lineage: Eukaryota; Viridiplantae; Streptophyta; Magnoliopsida; Malpighiales; Euphorbiaceae
Source: RNAcentral